Molecule: ribosomal RNA, 250 nt
Filed under: uncultured bacterium
Lineage: Bacteria
Also listed under: 1 other name
Description: partial 16S ribosomal RNA
Rfam family: Bacterial small subunit ribosomal RNA
Source: RNAcentral
UACGUAGGUGGCAAGCGUUGUCCGGAUUUAUUGGGCGUAAAGCGAGCGCAGGCGGUCAAUUAAGUCUGAUGUGAAAGCCCCCGGCUCAACCGGGGAGGGUCAUUGGAAACUGGUUGACUUGAGUGCAGAAGAGGAGAGUGGAAUUCCAUGUGUAGCGGUGAAAUGCGUAGAUAUAUGGAGGAACACCAGUGGCGAAGGCGACUCUCUGGUCUGUAACUGACGCUGAGGCUCGAAAGCGUGGGUAGCAAAC